CAUGACCAACAGUUGAUAUUUCCCUCCAAAUUCAAAUUUCAAAAUUCUGCAUUCAAAAACAAAGCUUUGACAAAUCAAACAAAACCAUGAGAACUAAAACCAAUCAGAAACUGGAGGAAAAGAAGCAUUUUGGGUUAAUUUUAUUAUUUUCCAAACAACUAGUCUAGAUUACAACAUAAUUCUUAAUUUUGUGAGGAAGAAUUGUGAACAGUGAUUCAAUUAAUCAAAUAAAACAAUCUGAAUCAAAAUCCAUUUAAAAAUGAAAUAAUAAAUAUUUUGGGUGAAUUUCACCCCAAAGAAGUCCACAUUUUCUCUAAAAUUUGUGAUUUCAUAUUUCCGCAAGGAAGUAUUGUGAACAAUUUUUAGAUUAAUUGAAUUGACCAUCAUAUGCACAGCGACUCCUGCUGGCCAUCAUUACACUUAGAUGAAGGAAACAAACAAACAAACAAACAAACAAAAAAAACAGAUCAUCAAAAUCCAUUAAGAACUGAAGAAGGAAAAACCAUUUAGGUGAAUUUCAGAUUAUUGGAUGGAUUUCUUUCUAAUAGAAUGCAAUGAGCCCCAUUAGGCCGAUGGUCUAGUGGUUAAGCGUUGGGCUUGAGACCAGAGGAUCCUUGGUUCAAAUCCCAGCCUGACCAGAAAAUCACUAAGGGCCCUUGGGCAAGGACCUUAAUCCCCUAAUUGCUCCCAGUGUGUAGUGAGCAUCUUGUAUGGCAGCACCCUCCCAUCAGGGUGAAUGUGACACCAAUAACACGUACAUCAAAAUCCACCAAAAAUUUGUAAGGAUCGUCCACAUCAAGAUCAGUCCAUCUGAAUUUCUUCCCUAACUCCUUGUUUGUUGCAGCAUUGUUAUUGGUGUUUAUGCAGAUUGUCCAGACUGUAUCAGUUGCAAAACACAGGAGAAAAAGGUCUUUUGGACUUUGGGGUGAAAGCGUAUCUACCUGGACUCCUGGUGUGCUCUGAAGUUGGAAUCUGCUAACUGCUGGAGCAGUGUCUACAUCCUCCUCCAUGUUCCAGCAGUCAGAGCUGGAUAGAGAAGCGCGUGCUCCGACCCUCAUGUGCUCUACACACACUCAGAUCUCUGUGUGCAUGAUGGAUCCACCUGCUCUGAUUGCUCGUCCAGAACAAAAAAGGGAUUGUCUCCAUCAUUAGAAGCCUCACUGUCUUGUUCAGACUCUGAGGACACACUGCACACACCAGCUUCCUCUAGUUAAAAAAAAAAAAUGAAGCGCUUGCUCAACAUUCCUAAGAUGCUUCAUUUUUACAAAAAACACACCACCACGACACAUGCUAAAUACUCCACCACGGACUAAAUACACACACAAAACACGCUAAAUAUCUCUCGAAUACAACAACUCUCAUCAUCUCAUCUUUUCUCUCUCCUCACCCAAUCACCCACAAUAUUCCUUCCCUCAGCAACCAAAUUACGUGGCUUGGGGAUCAUUGUUAUUGGCUUAUGUAGUUCAUUUUCCACCAGUAAUAAAGAGAAAUUCAUAUUUUGUUUUUUUAUACUUGUGUUGCUAUGGACAGAGGGGGACAAGAAAGAAAAGAAACUGGGCUUAGUGACUUCUGACUGGUUAGCUUGUGCGUUUUCCACCAAUGAUAAAGAGGGAGUCGUGUUUUUUUCCCACCCAUCACUGCUGCAGCAGAGAAGGAAAUUAUCCUUUUUGCUGUAGCUGUGUACAUAUCGCGCAGCAAAAAUGACAAUAAUAUUCAUGAAAAUGUUGGGCAUAAAAAAUACCCAUAAGUCAACUUUUACUUGGCCUAUUAACAAAAUUUAAAAGUUGGUAUAAAAAUUUAAAUCUGCACAUUCAAUACGCAUUCAAUAGGCAACUCCGAGUGCAGUGAAUUGGUUGUUACAUCCACUUAAUUCGGCCAUGUGACUAUUGACACGGUGGCGCGUCUGUCGACUCCACACGGUUAAUGUGUGUUUGGUUAGCAAUUAAGCGUCUAAGGUCUGUCAUACAACUGUUGUCAAUAGAUAAUAGAAAUGAUAAUCUCGCCUAAAAAAGUAAGUCCCUUCGGCUGUUCCCAUGUUUGCACACGGGGUUGCCACAGCAAAUCUGAGGCAGAUGCAAAAUGGCUAGAGCCAGUUGAGCCCAACUGAAGGAAAUCUGUCGUAGUGAUGGAGAACUUUAAUCCCGGUCUCGAUCUCUUUCAAUGACCAUAUUGUUUGUAAAUCUUUUUUAAGGUCUUGGAAUUUAGUUUUUGUGUCCUGUAUGAAUUAUGUGUCUAUUCAGAGUGCUCUUUCAUCCAAAUCUUUGACCACACUCAGAACAGACAAAUGGUUUUUGUCUUUUUGUUUUGUCUCUUUUUCAUUUGUUUUGAAUUUCAUUCUACUGCAUUUUCUUUCUUCUUAGAGUGCAGUGGGCCCCAGACAUGGGGUCUAAAGUUGCACCUUAACAUUACUGACAUUGUAUCCAAGGGCCUUCUUCAAGAUGGUGACUUAUCCUCUCCUCAAAUACUGCCUUUGAUCUCCUGCCCCACUUCUCAUGUUUGAGUAAGUGAAGCAGUGAAAGAUCUUUUUCUUCUCCCCAACUGACCAAUUUACAAUGGUGUAGUUUCACUGGAUUCUUUUGGCCCUUUGAUGGUGUUGUUGCUGGGAUCCAGGCUCAGAACUAUCCGGUGGAUGACCCAGCUGAAUUCUGCCACAGGAGAGAUGUCUCCCCGCAGCACUAGGAGAAGUUGCACCAUUGCUUUCUUCACACGCCCUGGCGUCUAGGCGCUUUGUGGAGUUUUUAGCUGGGGUUUUUCUUUGAAACAUCCUCAUACCAAGCUCUCUCCUGGCAACCCCCUUUAUAGUGGGACAGAGGACACUGGAGGCUCGUGUAUGAAUUUUCAUGUGUGUGUUCAGGUUGUUCUUUAGUCCAAAUUUCUGACCACACUCAGAACAGACAAAUGCUUUUUGCCCUGUAUGAAUUAUCAUGUGUGUGUUCAGAGUGCUCUUCUGUCCAAAUUUUUGACCACACUCAGAACAAACAAAUGAUUUUUUCCCUGUAUGAAUUAUCAUGUGUGUGUUCAGGUUGCUCUUUAGUCCAAAUCUUUUACCACACUCGGAACAAACAAAUGCUUUCUUCCCUGUAUGAAUUAUUAGGUGUCUGUUCAGAUUGCUCUUUAGUCCAAAUCUUUGACCACACUCAGAACAGACAAAUGCUUUUUUCCCUGUAUGAAUUAUCAUGUGUUUGCUCAGGUAGCUCUUUCGUCCAAAUCUUUGACCGCACUGGGAACAGAAAAAUGUUUUUUGUCCUGUCUGAAUUCUAAUGUGUUUGUCCAGAGUGUCCUUUAGUUUCUGUAUUUUACUCUGAUCAAAACAGUUAAAUGGUUUGCCUUGCCUCUU
Thalassophryne amazonica is the source of this 3337-nucleotide long non-coding RNA. RefSeq lists it as uncharacterized. The transcript has 3 exons. The record is from RefSeq and is a predicted model, not a curated record. Lineage: Eukaryota; Metazoa; Chordata; Actinopteri; Batrachoidiformes; Batrachoididae.